GAACGCUGGCGGCGUGCCUAAUACAUGCAAGUCGAACGCACAGCGAAAGGUGCUUGCACCUUUCAAGUGAGUGGCGAACGGGUGAGUAACACGUGGAUAACCUACCUCAAGGUUGGGGAUAACAUUUGGAAACAGAUGCUAAUACCGAAUAAAACUUCGUAUCGCAUGAUACAAGGUUAAAAGGCGCUACGGCGUCACCUAGAGAUGGAUCCGCGGUGCAUUAGUUAGUUGGUGGAGUAAAGGCCUACCAAGACAAUGAUGCAUAGCCGAGUUGAGAGACUGAUCGGCCACAUUGGGACUGAGACACGGCCCAAACUCCUACGGGAGGCUGCAGUAGGGAAUCUUCCACAAUGGGCGAAAGCCUGAUGGAGCAACGCCGCGUGUGUGAUGAAGGCUUUCGGGUCGUAAAGCACUGUUGUAUGGGAAGAACAGCUAGAGUAGGGAAUGACUUUAGUUUGACGGUACCAUACCAGAAAGGGACGGCUAAAUACGUG
RNAcentral lists this ribosomal RNA (494 nucleotides) under uncultured bacterium. Its description in RNAcentral is "bacterial SSU rRNA". It matches the Rfam family "Bacterial small subunit ribosomal RNA", at positions 31 to 507 of the family's 1533-position model. The record is from RNAcentral.